AUUGAAGGACCUGCUGCAUAUGAUAUUCUUACAAACUUUGAGCAGCGUUGGAGAAAAGCCUCAAAAUGGUCAGAAUUUGGACGGCGUUUUAAAAGGGUAACUCAUUGGCAUGAUGAUGCUUUAAUAAAGUUGGAACGAAUCUCAUGGAUACUUAGUCCUGGCCCAUCAAUUCCUGAUGAUGAUCCUAAAUUAUGGGUGUCCAAUGAAGAUGAUCCUGAAAACUGGCAUGUUCAGGUUUUCCGGUCUAUAGAUUCAGGAUCUCUGAAAGGGUUUCCCAAAGACGUUUAUCAAGCUGAGGCUCAGAACCUUGUAUGUGCUAAGAAUCUGGUGAUUGAUAAGAGCAUUCAAACAGCAUACAUUCAGGCAAUCAGAUCUGCCCAACACUUCAUAUAUAUUGAGAAUCAGUAUUUCAUUGGAUCAUCUUAUGCAUGGCCAUCUUACAAAGAAGCAGGUUUAAGCAUAACCUUUCUUACUUUUGCAUGAUAUACUUACAUGAACAGCUAAUUUCUUCUGCUUGAAGUAUCCUACAAUACCUGUUGUACUUCGCUCUUUUAACAGAAGAACAUGUUCUUACUCUGCACUUGUAACACCUUUGUAAUGCUAAUAAUGUAUUUUGCACACUUGAUCAUCAUAUUAGCCUUAGUAAUUUUGAAUUGGGUCAUUUCUUUUUCCCUUUUGACCUUCACAGAUUUUUCUUUUGCCCUCAAUUUAGUUUCUUGGGUAUGAAUAGGGGCUGAUAAUCUAAUUCCUAUGGAGUUGGCAUUGAAGAUUGCUAGUAAAAUCAGAGCAAAGGAGAGGUUUGCUGUCUAUGUCGUCGUACCAAUGUGGCCUGAGGGUGUUCCCACUUCUGUCUCUGUGCAAGAAAUUCUCUUUUGGCAGGUAAUAUGGCAUAUGGUUUAGUUCAUUGAGUGUAAGUUGAGGUGAUACAAAGUGGAGAGGAAGAAGCAAAAUGGAUUGUCCAGCUGAAGUUCUUUAGGAAAAAUGUUACUAAUGACUGCAUCAAUCUUUUUAUAUGGAUAUAAACGAUACAUAAUUCAUCCAUUUUUCCUGUGGUUAAUUCAUCUUUUCAGCACCAGCCAAUUAACAUUCUGUUGGAACUAUGGGUGCUAGUUUCAUUACUUUGCAUGACUCAUUGCUUGUUUUGGUUGGAGCAUGUAUUUUAGCUAUGUGACUGACAUUUUUCUUGCCUUUACAGGGACAGACAAUGCAAGUGAUGUAUGAAGUCAUAGCAAAAGAAUUGAAAGCCAUGAAUCUUGAGAAUGUACAUCCACAAGAAUACCUGAAUUUUUAUUGUCUCGGUAAUAGGGAAGAACCAUCCAAAGAAUUGUUGGAUUUAAGUGAUAAGGCUCGCAAUUCUGGAGAAGUGGUUUUAACCUGUCAAGAGCAUCGACGUUUUAUGAUUUAUGUACAUGCCAAGGGAAUGAUAGUAGAUGAUGAGUAUGUUAUAUUGGGCUCUGCUAAUAUUAAUCAACGGUCUAUGGCUGGUUCAAGAGAUACUGAGAUAGCAAUGGGAGCAUACCAGCCGAGUCACACUUGGGGAAAUAAGAGGAGACAUCCACGAGGCCAGGUAUCUGCUCCUAUAAUUUGAUACAUUGCUUGCUCUAUCCAAAUUUUGCAGAUAGUGAAUGGAUUACUUUCUGUCACCUGCAUUUGCCAGUCGAGCCUUUUUAGAUAUGAUUUUUAAGACUUUAACCAGAGUAAGCAGAUUAAAUUAUGUGAUGCAUCUUCAGGUAUAUGGAUACAGAAUGUCACUCUGGGCAGAACACUUGGGAUUGGUUGAUAGAUUGUUUGAAGAGCCUGAAACUUUGGAUUGUGUGAAUACUGUGAACAAAAUUGCUGAAGAUAACUGGAGGAGGUUCACAGAGAAGGAAUUUUCGCCAUUGCAGGGGCACCUCCUUAAAUACCCUCUGAAGGUAGAUGUCAAUGGCAAAGUAAGCCCCUUGCCUGGACAAGAGAAUUUCCCAGAUGUUGGUGGAAAGGUGCUUGGAGCUCGUUCUACCCUUCCUGAUGCAUUAACUACAUAGCAAGUCCAUGCUUCUGUUUCUAAUUCACACGGUAUCUCACUUUGACUGUUGAGAGGCAGGCUAUAGUUUGUACUGAUAUGAAGCUCAGUUACUCUAGGAGCCUUACGAGAGUCUUAAAUGCCAAUCUAGUGUAUAGAACAAAAUACCAUCGUACCAUUUCUCAAAUAUACAGUGAUUGGAAUAGAAAAGUUUGUAAUUGAUAAAUUCUGCCUUUAAAUUUGUUAAAGCACAGACAAAACAGAAAACCCAAGCUAAUAAAAGACAAAAGAAACAAAAAUCACACAAAUAAUGCCAUAGCAAAACUACAAGUGUCAAAUUAUAUAAAAGAAAACACAAGGGCAUCAUACAAGUUAGGUUCACACCAUACGCUUACUCAUUAUGAUUUAUGAACCCUCCUACCUUACUGAAAAAUAGAAGAGGAACAUGAGAUGAUAUGACUGUUAACCCCCACUUGGAGUUUAGUUAACUGUCACCUUUCCCACCAUGCCAGCUCCCUGGUGAGGGGAACAGUAGAAAGUGUAAGUGCCUUUCUCAGACAAGGUAACAGCAUAAGUCUCUCCUGGAGCAUUCAGGAGAUCUUCUUCAGACAUGGAGAUUUUGGAAGCAUCAACCCCACUUGGAAUUUCAUCCUCCUCGAACACAACGUUGUGUGGGAAGCCUUGGUUGUUCUUGAACACAAUCUUUUCUCCGGCAGCCACAGAGAAGUUGCUGGGAACAAAGGCCAGUGACCCAUCAUCACCUCCGAGCAAUACCUCAAUGGCCAUGGCAUUGCUGGCGAGAAUUGCACUUGCUGCAGUGGCGGCAACUGCAACACCCACGUCCUUCAUUGAAGCCUUGAUAGCGAGUUUUGGGACUGUAGAAGCUGUAACCUUGUCACUGGCUUUGGCUGUAGUGGAUCUUGCUGCCUUAAGACCAGUGAAAGAUAGGAUAACAACAGCUGCAGAGGUGACGGUGGCCAUUCUUGUAGUUUUAUUUUUUCUUUUUCUUCUCUGUUUAUUGGAGGUGUUUUGUUGUUCUGUGUUGGAAGCGAUCAGAUGAAGAAGGGAAGGGAGGUUGAUGUUUAAAAUAGUGAUGGGGAGAGGGUGAGGCUUAGAUGUUCUUUUUGGUGUGGUUUAAAUUUUGGCAUGGAAUAUAGUGAUGAUUAGAUAAUGAAUGGCAAGGUGAAUGGUCAGCGGCAGAGAACGUGUUAUCUGCUGAGGAUUACUCCUAUUGGCUAGCUAGGAUGUUGUUGAUGACGUGGCUUGGACGUAUAUGAAUUUUUAAAUGAGGUGGAAAUUAUGAUUAAUAUGUGGAAUGAG
This 3322-nucleotide unclassified non-coding RNA is filed under the name Hevea brasiliensis (rubber tree). The record is from RNAcentral. Lineage: Eukaryota; Viridiplantae; Streptophyta; Magnoliopsida; Malpighiales; Euphorbiaceae.